GACGGGGGGGGCAAGCGUUGUUCGGAAUUACUGGGCGUAAAGGGCGCGUAGGCGGCUUUUCAAGUCGGGCGUGAAAUCUCCGGGCUUAACCCGGAAGGGUCGUUCGAUACUGUUGAGCUAGAGUGUGGAAGAGGCAACUAGAAUUCCGUGUGUAGCGGUGAAAUGCGUAGAUAUACGGAGGAAUACCUGAGGCGAAGGCGGGUUGCUGGGCCAACACUGACGCUGAGGCGCGAAAGCCAGGGGAGCAAACGGG
RNAcentral lists this ribosomal RNA (253 nucleotides) under uncultured bacterium. RNAcentral's name for it is "partial 16S ribosomal RNA". It matches the Rfam family "Bacterial small subunit ribosomal RNA", at positions 524 to 776 of the family's 1533-position model. The record is from RNAcentral.